UAUGGAGGAGGCAAGCGUUAUCCGGAAUUAUUGGGCGUAAAGCGUCCGUAGGUGGCUAGUCAAGUCUGCGGUCAAAGACUGGGGCUUAACCCUGGAAAGGCCGUGGAAACUGACGAGCUAGAGUGCAGUAGGGGUAGAGGGAAUUCCCGGUGUAGCGGUGAAAUGCGUAGAGCUCGGGAAGAACAUCGGUGGCGAAAGCGCUCUACUGGACUGCAACUGACACUCAGGGACGAAAGCUAGGGGAGCGAAUGGG
RNAcentral lists this ribosomal RNA (253 nucleotides) under uncultured bacterium. RNAcentral describes it as "partial 16S ribosomal RNA". It matches the Rfam family "Bacterial small subunit ribosomal RNA", at positions 524 to 776 of the family's 1533-position model. The record is from RNAcentral.